Molecule: ribosomal RNA, 208 nt
Filed under: Litonotus pictus
Lineage: Eukaryota; Ciliophora; Litostomatea; Pleurostomatida; Litonotidae
Description: partial Eukaryotic small subunit ribosomal RNA
Rfam family: Eukaryotic small subunit ribosomal RNA
Source: RNAcentral
UAAAAAGCUCGUAGUUGGAUUUCUGGUAGGAUGCUAAUGUCCGCUUGUUGCGUGUGCAUAUGCGUCCUGCCAUCCUUCUGUUAACUGUCCUGGUAUUCAUUUACUGGUUCAGAGCUCAGAUAUUUUACCUUGAGAAAAUUAGAGUGUUUAAGGCAGGCAUGCGCCUGAAUACAUUAGCAUGGAAUAAUAGAAUAGGACUUUGGUCUCC